UCCGGCUUGACGCCGGCAGUCUCCGUAGAGUCCCCGCCAUGACGCGCUGGCAACUACAGAUAAGGGUUGCGCUCAUUGCGGGACUUAACCCAACGUCUCACGACACGAGCUGACGACAGCCAUGCAGCACCUGUGCUGGUGUUCCGAAGAAGGGCUCCUGUUUCCAGGAGCUUUCACCAGCAUGUCAAGCCCAGGUAAGGUUCUUCGCGUUGCUUCGAAUUAAACCACAUGCUCCACCGCUUGUGCGGGCCCCCGUCAAUUCCUUUGAGUUUCAGUCUUGCGACCGUACUCCCCAGGCGGCGAACUUAACGCGUUAGCUUCGACACUGAGAGCCUGAUUGCUCCCAACGUCCAGUUCGCAUCGUUUAGGGCGUGGACUAC
RNAcentral lists this unclassified non-coding RNA (380 nucleotides) under uncultured bacterium. RNAcentral describes it as "contains 16S-23S intergenic spacer region". The record is from RNAcentral.